UACAACCAGACGGCGCGGCUCACCUCAA
Molecule: small RNA, 28 nt
Filed under: Bombyx mori (domestic silkworm)
Lineage: Eukaryota; Metazoa; Arthropoda; Insecta; Lepidoptera; Bombycidae
Description: ovarian small RNA-2922
Source: RNAcentral